GAUUGAACGCUGGCGGCAGGCCUAACACAUGCAAGUCGAACGGUAACAGGAAGAAGCUUGCUUCUUUGCUGACGAGUGGCGGACGGGUGAGUAAUGUCUGGGAAACUGCCUGAUGGAGGGGGAUAACUACUGGAAACGGUAGCUAAUACCGCAUAACGUCGCAAGACCAAAGAGGGGGACCUUCGGGCCUCUUGCCAUCGGAUGUGCCCAGAUGGGAUUAGCUAGUGGGUGGGGUAACGGCUCACCUAGGCGACGAUCUCUAGCUGGUCUGAGAGGAUGACCAGCCACACUGGAACUGAGACACGGUCCAGACUCCU
This 317-nucleotide ribosomal RNA is filed under the name Escherichia coli O157:H7 str. EC4113. RNAcentral describes it as "SSU rRNA". It matches the Rfam family "Bacterial small subunit ribosomal RNA", at positions 27 to 340 of the family's 1533-position model. Lineage: Bacteria; Pseudomonadati; Pseudomonadota; Gammaproteobacteria; Enterobacterales; Enterobacteriaceae. The record is from RNAcentral.